AUUGAACGCUGGCGGCAUGCCUUACACAUGCAAGUCGAACGGUAACAGGUCCUCGGGUGCUGACGAGUGGCGAACGGGUGAGUAAUACAUCGGAACGUGCCUAGUAGUGGGGGAUAACUACUCGAAAGAGUGGCUAAUACCGCAUGAGAUCUACGGAUGAAAGCAGGGGAUCGCAAGACCUUGUGCUACUAGAGCGGCCGAUGGCAGAUUAGGUAGUUGGUGGGAUAAAAGCUUACCAAGCCAACGAUCUGUAGCUGGUCUGAGAGGACGAUCAGCCACACUGGGACUGAGACACGGCCCAGACUCCUACGGGAGGCAGCAGUGGGGAAUUUUGGACAAUGGGCGCAAGCCUGAUCCAGCAAUGCCGCGUGCAGGAUGAAGGCCUUCGGGUUGUAAACUGCUUUUGUACGGAACGAAAAGCCCCGGGUUAAUACCCUGGGGUCAUGACGGUACCGUAAGAAUAAGCACCGGCUAACUACGUGCCAGCAGCCGCCGCCG
RNAcentral lists this ribosomal RNA (498 nucleotides) under uncultured bacterium. RNAcentral describes it as "partial 16S ribosomal RNA". It matches the Rfam family "Bacterial small subunit ribosomal RNA", at positions 30 to 523 of the family's 1533-position model. The record is from RNAcentral.